UACAGAGGUGGCAAGCGUUGUUCGGAAUUACUGGGCGUAAAGGGCGCGUAGGCGGCCCGCUAAGUCGAACGUGAAAUCCCUGGGCUCAACCCAGGAACUGCGUCCGAUACUGGCAGGCUUGAAUCCGGGAGAGGGAUGCGGAAUUCCAGGUGUAGCGGUGAAAUGCGUAGAUAUCUGGAGGAACACCGGUGGCGAAGGCGGCAUCCUGGACCGGCAUUGACGCUGAGGCGCGAAAGCUAGGGGAGCAAACGGG
RNAcentral lists this ribosomal RNA (253 nucleotides) under uncultured bacterium. Its description in RNAcentral is "partial 16S ribosomal RNA". It matches the Rfam family "Bacterial small subunit ribosomal RNA", at positions 524 to 776 of the family's 1533-position model. The record is from RNAcentral.